This is a long non-coding RNA of Trichoplusia ni (cabbage looper), 522 nucleotides long. RefSeq lists it as uncharacterized. The record is from RefSeq and is a predicted model, not a curated record. The transcript is spliced from 2 exons. Lineage: Eukaryota; Metazoa; Arthropoda; Insecta; Lepidoptera; Noctuidae.
UAACGAAAAACUUUAACAUUUAGGGUAAACUUUCCUAAAUCGUACUUUUUCCUAAAACGUACCCCAUCGAGUUCUCGUUUCGUGAAACUGCAGUGGCGACGCAAGUGCUAGAAAAUGAAACUACUAGUUGGCAUUGUUCCGUGAUCCGAGCAACGACUCCAUGCUGCCGCUCCUUUUAAAAUUAUUCAAAAAAUCGACAUGGCUAAGCGACGAUACAAAACUUGGUCAAGUGACGAUAUGGAAAAAGCCCUCAGUGCUUAUAAAGAUGGAAGUUUAAAAUUUAAUGAAACUUGUCGUGUAUUUAAUAUUCCAAAACCGACAUUUCGGCGUCAUUUAAAAGGAUUGAAUAUGCACGAAGGAAUUGGACGUCCGAAAUAUUUAACAAAAGCAAUGGAAGACGAACUAGUUAACCAUAUAUUGGAAUUAGAAUCCAGAUUUUUUGGCGUUACCAUACGUGAUUUACGCCACUUAGCAUACCAAUUAGCGGAAAAAUAUGGUUUGCCUCACAAAUUUAAUCCGGAA